Molecule: ribosomal RNA, 245 nt
Filed under: uncultured bacterium
Lineage: Bacteria
Description: partial small subunit ribosomal RNA
Rfam family: Bacterial small subunit ribosomal RNA
Source: RNAcentral
AGAAUCAACGCUGGCGGCGUGCCUAACACAUGCAAGUCGAACGAGAAAGGGGAGCAAUCCCUGAGUAAAGUGGCGCACGGGUGAGUAACACGUGACUAACCUACCCUGGAGUGGGGGAUAACUGAGGGAAACCUUAGCUAAUACCGCAUAAUACCCACGGGUCAAAGGAGCAAUUCGCUUUGGGAGGGGUCGCGGCCGAUUAGUUAGUUGGCGGGGUAAUGGCCCACCAAGACGAUGAUCGGUAU